RNAcentral lists this ribosomal RNA (253 nucleotides) under uncultured bacterium. RNAcentral describes it as "partial 16S ribosomal RNA". It matches the Rfam family "Bacterial small subunit ribosomal RNA", at positions 524 to 776 of the family's 1533-position model. The record is from RNAcentral.
GACAGAGGGUGCAAACGUUGUUCGGAAUUACUGGGCGUAAAGCGAGUGUAGGCGGUCCGAUAAGUCGGGUGUGAAAGCCCUGGGCUCAACCCAGGAAGUGCACUCGAAACUGCCGGGCUAGAGUAUCGGAGAGGUUGGUGGAAUUCUCGGUGUAGAGGUGAAAUUCGUAGAUAUCGAGAGGAACACCUGCGGCGAAGGCGGGUUGCUGGGCUGACACUGACGCUGAUGCGCGAAAGCUAGGGGAGCGAACGGG